GUAGGUGAACCUGCGGAAGGAUCAUUAAUCACGAUUCCAAUCGUACAAACCUAACGCGCACUUGUUUCGUACCCCUAAGUCUGUCCACAGCCGAAAAGCAGCAGAGUUGAGGUAGUGUGAGACGUCUUUUCUCUCGGGGAAAGGCGGCUCGCUCUGCUGUCCGCAUCGGUCCUUUCGGGGCAUCGGUGGGGCUUUCACAGACUACGCUACUGCGUUCUCUGGAGUUCUCCUCGGAGAGCAUCAGCUGGGC
RNAcentral lists this unclassified non-coding RNA (250 nucleotides) under plant metagenome. RNAcentral describes it as "partial contains small subunit ribosomal RNA, internal transcribed spacer 1, and 5.8S ribosomal RNA". The record is from RNAcentral.